AUUUGUACUACCUAAAAGUGGUAUUAUUACUUUCAAGCUACAUGCUCAAAAAUUAUUUCCCUUGGGAACACACACCUAACCCAAACAAAAAGAUUACUACUUUUUUUCUACUCAUUCAAUACCCUUUGUCCCAGCUAUCUUGUUUCUUUCUUCCUAUGUCUCAUUCAACAUUAUAUUCACAUGCUAUGAUCUCCCCAGACCCCUGCAGACUAUUAGGUUGAACCACAUGAAAUUGCCAAUAUUCAGCUGGUUUUGACCAAUAAAGGUGGUGAUUUCAUAUAAUUCAAGCAAACCCUAUUAGAAUGAGGUAGCAAAUUGUGGAAGAUUCUCUGUGUGCAACGGCUGUGACCACUACUCAGCAUACGCAACUUGCUCAGGCCUUUGAAAACCAACUCUUUACAUACUUUCUCUCCCCCACCACCCCCAACUUCCUCACUCUCUUUCUCUGUCUCUAGUCUCUCAUAGUCAGACUUCUGAAAAGAGCAGUCUACACUCACUUUUCUACAUUCUCUUUCUUAUUCAUCCUGUAGCUCACUGUAAUCUGGUUUCUGUUCCCAACACUCCACUAAAAUAGUUUCUGCCAAGGUCACUAAUGAACUUUGAUUGACAAAUUCAACAGAAAUGCUUCUGUCUUUAUCUUUCUUAACUUCCCUGUUGCAUUUGACAGAUGUGCCAAGAUUUCCUUCUUAGUAUUUCAUCUCUUUCUCUGACUUGCAUGAUCUGCCUUUCUUUUGAUUUACAGAUAUUUUCCCAAACCAGAUUUUCAGCCUUUUGAGGGCAUAGGAUUUGUGUCUUAUUCAGCUGUGUAUCCCAGGGCCUAGUUUAGUAUAGCCUCUGCAAGGUGCUUAUCUAUAUUUGUUGAAUGAAUGAGAAACAAUGAAUUAGCGAAAUGACAGCACUUUGUUAAUUAUUAGUCAUUGCAAAUAUUUAGUUUCUCUUUGGUUUAAUCCCUAUGUCUAGCAACUUCUCUACCUGACUCACUGCCAUGCAUAAUUUUAAUAAUGUAUAGCUGGCAGGGUGCCACAUUCUUCAUGUUUUCGUCUGAGAAAUCCUACUUGAUAGUUGGAGGCAAGGCAGUUGAGACUGAAAUCCCUACUGGUUCCUUUUCACAUGGCUUCCUCUAAUUCUGAGCAGUUAUAAUAUGCUGGGCUAUCACUCAUGAAUUUUAGUAACUCCUAACUCCUAGGAAAAAAGAUCUCUGUGUCCUUUUUUUCUUUUCCUCCCAAAAAUGUGUCAUUUUGAGAUCCAAUAAAGUGUGUCCAGCAAAAGGCCACUUGUUGCUUGCUUAACAUAUGACCUGAAAAACGGGGGAUAAAACCUAACACAAGACUCAAGGAUAACAAAAGAAACAUGCCAAUAGAAAAUGCAAUACACACACACACACACAAUUUAUGCAAGUUUAAUUUCUGUUGUUUUGGUUGGAAAAGAGCUGCAGGUGUCCUCUAAUUAUAACCCCAUUUUCACAAAUAUCAACUGUCAUAUUUAAUCUGUUAUAUUCACCAUAUAGCCUACUGUUGCAGCACAUUUCUUUCAUUACAAAUUUAGUAGCAGAGUUUCAAAUGCUCAAACUAACAUUCAGGCUAGUCAAUUAAUGCAUUAUUUACAAGUUAAAUGUUAUUAAAAACAGGUUCUUAAUUUGCUAAUGAUUUACUAGACCCAAAGCAAUAUUCCAAUUUUUUGUUGUUGUUGUAGUGUUUGAAAAUGGAAGAACAUUUAGAACAGUUGGGAUGGGAGAGAUGUCAGGGAUACUUUGGCCUUUCUCAUCCAUUUCUGAAUUUCUUUUCUGCAUUCUUCCUUCUUGUGUGCUGUGUUUGAUGCCUAUAUUAACCAGUUGCAGCAUGGUUGAGAAGAAAGACUUAUGAAAAACAAGACCAGCAUAAAUACUAUUGUGAGGAGUGUUUUAAAAAAUCACUGGGCAGUUUGGAAUGACUAAAUACACAUGUUCCCCAUACAAUUUAGCAUAUUUUGAUUUACAGUCCCAUUCCAGCAGCACAACAGGUUAAGAAGUUUAGAAGUCCAGGAAAUUAAAUGUUAUUGGCAUUCCACUGUUGUCAGACUGCACACACUGAAUAUAUGUCUCUUCAAAUACACUUUGAAAGAGUUUAGAGUUUCUAAGGUUCUAGGGCCUCAGAAUCAUCCCAACAAUCUGGAUUUUCUUCUUUCUUUUAGUUUUCUUCCUCUUUUUUCUUUAACCUAGAUCAUGUUCUAAAUCCAUACCUUUCAUGUUCCAUAAUUCCAUGGCACACUACUUAUUUAUGAAAGAUAAUAUGGGGGGUUGAGCUCUUUGAUGAAAAAUAAUUCAGGUUCCAUGAAGCCAGUUACCUCAUCUUCAUGCCUUUCUCUCCAGCUGUUUCCUUGGCCUAGAGGAAUCCAUUUUCUCCUCCCCACUUUUCUCUUAAAAAUUUUAAAAAACCUAAUUUUCUUAAUAAAAUCUUGUUAAAUUUAAAUGU
This 2450-nucleotide long non-coding RNA is filed under the name Homo sapiens (human). RNAcentral describes it as "HSALNT0295512". The record is from RNAcentral. Lineage: Eukaryota; Metazoa; Chordata; Mammalia; Primates; Hominidae.